This 437-nucleotide ribosomal RNA is filed under the name uncultured Glomeromycotina. Its description in RNAcentral is "SSU rRNA". It matches the Rfam family "Eukaryotic small subunit ribosomal RNA", at positions 569 to 1013 of the family's 1831-position model. The record is from RNAcentral. Lineage: Eukaryota; Fungi; Glomeromycota.
AGCAGCCGCGGUAAUUCCAGCUCCAAUAGCGUAUAUUAAAGUUGUUGCAGUUAAAAAGCUCGUAGUUGAAUUUCGGGAUCAAUAUGUUUGGUCGUGCCUCGGUACGUACUAGCUUAUUGGUUUCUCCUUUCUGAAGAACCAUGAUGUCAUUCAUUUGGUGUCGUGGGGAAUCAGGACUGUUACUUUGAAAAAAUUGAGUGUUUAAAGCAGGCUCACGCUUGAAUACAUUAGCAUGGAAUAAUGAAAUAGGACGUUUGAUUCUAUUUUGUUGGUUUCUAGGAUCGACGUAAUGAUUAAUAGGGAUAGUUGGGGGCAUUAGUAUUCAAUUGUCAGAGGUGAAAUUCUUGGAUUUAUUGAAGACUAACUACUGCGAAAGCAUUUGCCAAGGAUGUUUUCAUUAAUCAAGAACGAAAGUUAGGGAUCGAAGACGAUCAGAU